UACGAAGGGGGCUAGCGUUGUCCGGAAUCACUGGGCGUAAAGGGCGCGUAGGCGGGUCUUUAAGUCAGGGGUGAAAUCCUGGAGCUCAACUCCAGAACUGCCUUUGAUACUGGCGACCUUGAGUCCGGGAGAGGUGAGUGGAACUGCGAGUGUAGAGGUGAAAUUCGUAGAUAUUCGCAAGAACACCAGUGGCGAAGGCGGCUCACUGGCCCGGUACUGACGCUGAGGUGCGAAAGCGUGGGGAGCAAACAGG
RNAcentral lists this ribosomal RNA (253 nucleotides) under uncultured bacterium. RNAcentral's name for it is "partial 16S ribosomal RNA". It matches the Rfam family "Bacterial small subunit ribosomal RNA", at positions 524 to 776 of the family's 1533-position model. The record is from RNAcentral.